GUGCUCAUUUUGGUAGCACAUAUACUAACAUUGGAAUGGUACAGAUAUUAGCAUGGCCUCUGUAGAAGGAUAACACACAGAUUUCUGAAGCAUUUAAUAAUUUU
Small nuclear RNA from Ochotona princeps (American pika), 104 nucleotides. The record is from RefSeq and is a predicted model, not a curated record. NCBI's taxonomy places the organism in Eukaryota, Metazoa, Chordata, Mammalia, Lagomorpha, Ochotonidae.